Molecule: long non-coding RNA, 606 nt
Organism: Sphaerodactylus townsendi
Lineage: Eukaryota; Metazoa; Chordata; Lepidosauria; Squamata; Sphaerodactylidae
Exons: 3
Source: RefSeq, a predicted model, not a curated record
GGGAGGUUGUUUGGGAGCUUAUUGCUGCCAGGUUGAUGCUUAUUUUGGGAUGCAGCUGGAGCAAUUGGGGCCUUUCCCAAAAUGGCAAAGGGAUGACACCAUCUCUGGUGUCACAUGACUGAAUUAGACUUUGACCUCAGCUACCUAAUGACCCAGGAAAAGGUGUCCAGGAAACCCUGAAACUGGGCCGUAAGUGAUGAGCAAGCAGAGAUGACCAGCAAGUUUGUCCCUUUUGAAAAUGCCGACAAAUUGAAAUUCCAGUGGAAAAGAAGGAAGUCCUCGUCGAGCAGACUAGCUGGCUCAGCACACCUCCGCAGUCCUAUUGCAAACCUCUGCUAAACUCUGAUGUCUGUGAGGGCUGAUAGAUGGGUCAAUCUUACGCAAAGUUAGCCUGGGACCAUUGAUUUCAAUGGAUAUAAACUGGAAUGAUUCUGCACUGGAUUGCUCUGUAAUUGGCAUCUUCUGUGUGCCAGGAAGGUAGGUGGUGUUGAAUAAUCCAGUCUCAUUGGAUGCUGGAAGCUUAUCAGGGUCAGUACUUGCAUAAGAGGCCACCGAGGAAGGCUUUGUGGGGGGAGGCAAUGGGAAGCCACCUCUGCUUUUCUCUGA